This 396-nucleotide ribosomal RNA is filed under the name uncultured bacterium. RNAcentral's name for it is "partial 16S ribosomal RNA". It matches the Rfam family "Bacterial small subunit ribosomal RNA", at positions 523 to 918 of the family's 1533-position model. The record is from RNAcentral.
AUACGUAGGUGGCAAGCGUUGUCCGGAAUUAUUGGGCGUAAAGCGCAUGUAGGCGGUUUGGUAAGUCGGUCGUGAAAAUGCGGGGCUUAACGCCGUAUGGCGAUUGAAACUGCUGAACUUGAGUGCAGGAGAGGAAAGGGGAACUCCCAGGGUAGCGGUGAAAUGCGUAGAUAUUGGGAAGAACACCGGUGGCGAAGGCGCCUUUCUGGACUGUGUCUGACGCUCAGAUGCGAAAGCCAGGGUAGCGAACGGGAUUAGAUACCCCGGUAGUCCUGGCCGUAAACGAUGGGUACUAGGUGUGGGAGGUAUCGACUCCUUCCGUGCCGGAGUUAACGCAAUAAGUACCCCGCCUGGGGAGUACGGCCGCAAGGCUUAAACUCAAAUGAAUUGGCGGGG